GUUUUCGUAGGCUUUACAGGUUUUGUUUUCAUCUGAACAUGAAAGACUGCAGCUUUCCCAGAGACUUGUCUGCUCAGUUUUUAUACCUCCUGCUUGUGACAUAUUUCUGGCAUCAGAUGAGUGAGGAAUGAGCCUAAGGGUAUUUUUGGUUGCAAGACAAAAGACUGGGUGAAUACAAAAAGAAGAAAAAAAAAAGAAACAGAAACUCGGGGAAAGGUCAAGGAUGAAGCCCAAGGCACUCAUGGUCUCCAUUAUGGUUUCUCUUACAGUCUUGGACUGUCGUGGAAUUCCUGUUUCUGCACUCCUUUUGCUUUAAGUAGAAGCAAGAGCUGGCAAGAAACAACCUUCAAUGUCUAUCUGUCUUACUAGCUUUCCUUGAACUCCAGGGCAGAGAACAUUGAGAAGCACCUUCCCACAGCCUGAGUUUCUUGUUGUCUGCCUUGAACCUGUGUAAGCUAGCUUAACUGAUUUUACCAGAAGUGAAUUUAGAAAUACUCCCAGGGAGUACUUCGCCAAUAAAUCCAAGGACAAAAGAACUUCACAUAUGCACAUGGCCAGAGGAAGGCAAGCAGCUAAGGAAAAUGUCUGCUUCCACUUCAAAGAGAAGGAUGCUAGCUGAAGUCUCUUAGCCUUCAUUUAAAACAAACAAACAGGAAAAAAAGAAAAAGAAAAAAAAGGCACCAACAAGCAAACAAAAACGUUCUAAAAACAAUUUGUAAAAUCAUCAAAGGUGUGGGAUUCACACAAACCAACCAGUUAAGAACAGGGUUUUUCAGUCUCUCAGUGCUGAAAAUCUAAAAACCUUUUCAUCAUUAUGAUUCAUUUUGAUUUAGUUAGUCCGUGUGAAGAAUGUUUUAUUGCUCAGAUUAAGAAAACUUUCCCUGCUACUAUGAAAAAGACAAAGCUACAAGAGUGCUAGAUUAGAUACAGAUGCCUCUUAAAUUAACAGGAGCUUUCCCAUUUAUUUCAGUAGACAUUGGUGCAACUCCUAAGCAAGGAGUUAUCCAGCUGUUUGCUGCUGAUGAAAUAAGGUCCCUUGUGCACUGUUAAGAAACAAAAAGUGCAAAGACGGAAAUCACUAAAAGGAGUCCUUUACGGAGGAGUCAGCAUAGAUCUAAUGUCCAGAAAAACAACAUUUCAGAGCAGCACUUGCACACUCAAGACUGCUAGAGGGAUAUCCAUGAUGUCUUUGUACAUGGAAGCUUGUAGAAUGAACAAGACAACGUGAUCCAUGUGACUUCUGUGGUAGUUAAAAGUGGAUGUGUACACUGUUGAAGUCCAGAGAUAAAACACCUGCUCCAAAGCAUCUUGUCUGCAACUCUCUGGCCCAUUUAAACCACAGAAGAGCACAGCACAGAUGUUUGGAUUGUAUUCUCUAAUGAAGACUUCAGUCAGAGAAACGUAGGACCUGGGGACUAUUCAAAACUAGAUUAAAAUAUUGAAGAGGAAUUUAAGACCAUUGCCAAAACAUCUGUUAUUUACUGUCCUUUAAUAAAUCAGAUUUCUUGUGAAAAACAUUCUUUCUCAACAACCAGAUUACAGGAAGUGCAGUAUUCCUCUGACGGAUACUUCAGGCAGUCCUGAGCUUGUGUUCCAGCUGCACUGUUAUUAUCUCCUGGCAGCCUGCAUGCUCUGUUCUUUAAUAAAAUCUGUUGCCC
Long non-coding RNA from Gallus gallus (chicken), 1658 nucleotides. The record is from Ensembl. NCBI's taxonomy places the organism in Eukaryota, Metazoa, Chordata, Aves, Galliformes, Phasianidae.